AGCAGCCGCGGUAAUUCCAGCUCCAAUAGCGUAUAUUAAAGUUGUUGCAGUUAAAAAGCUCGUAGUUGAAUUUCGGGACCAAUUUGUUGGUCGUGCCUCGGUACGUACUGGUAUUACUGGUCUCUCUCUUCUGACGAACCAUGAUGUCAUUAAUUUGGUGUCUUGGGAAAUCAGGACUGUUACUUUGAAAAAAU
Molecule: ribosomal RNA, 194 nt
Filed under: uncultured Glomus
Lineage: Eukaryota; Fungi; Glomeromycota; Glomeromycetes; Glomerales; Glomeraceae
Description: partial 18S ribosomal RNA
Rfam family: Eukaryotic small subunit ribosomal RNA
Source: RNAcentral